GACGAACGCUGGCGGCGUGCUUAACACAUGCAAGUCGAACGGAAAGGCCUCUUUCGGGGGGUACUCGAGUGGCGAACGGGUGAGUAACACGUGAGUAACCUGCCCUUGACUUUGGGAUUACUUCAGGAAACUGGGGCUAAUACCGGAUAGGAGCUCCUGCUGCAUGGUGGGGGUUGGAAAGUUUCGGCGGUUGGGGAUGGACUCGCGGCUUAUCAGCUUGUUGGUGGGGUAGUGGCUUACCAAGGCUUUGACGGGUAGCCGGCCUGAGAGGGUGACCGGCCACAUUGGGACUGAGAUACGGCCCAGACUCCUACGGGAGGCAGCAGUGGGGAAUAUUGCACAAUGGGUGGAAGCCUGAUGCAGCAACGCCGUGUGCGGGAUGACGGCCUUCGGGUUGUAAACCGCUUUCGCUCAUGACGAAGCUUUGUGUGACGGUAGUGGGUAAAGAAGCACCGGCUAACUACGUG
Molecule: ribosomal RNA, 467 nt
Filed under: uncultured bacterium
Lineage: Bacteria
Description: partial 16S ribosomal RNA
Rfam family: Bacterial small subunit ribosomal RNA
Source: RNAcentral